GCAUAUCAAUAAGCGGAGGAAAAGAAACCAACAGGGAUUGCCUCAGUAACGGCGAGUGAAGCGGCAAAAGCUCAAAUUUGAAAUCCCCCGGGAAUUGUAAUUUGAAGAGAUUUGGGUCCGGCCGGCGGGGGUUAAGUCCACUGGAAAGUGGCGCCACAGAGGGUGACAGCCCCGUGAACCCCCUUAACGCCCUCAUCCCAGAUCUCCAAGAGUCGAGUUGUUUGGGAAUGCAGCUCUAAGUGGGUGGUAAAUUCCAUCUAAAGCUAAAUACCGGCGAGAGACCGAUAGCGAACAAGUACAGUGAUGGAAAGAUGAAAAGCACUUUGAAAAGAGAGUGAAAAAGUACGUGAAAUUGUUGAAAGGGAAGGGCUUGCAAGCAGACACUUAACUGGGCCAGCAUCGGGGCGGCGGGGAAACAAAACCACCGGGGAAUGUCCCUUUCGAGGAUAAUACCCCUGGUCCUUAUUCCCAUGCCGCCCCGAGGCCUGCAUUCUAAGGAUGCUGGCGUAAUGGUUGCAAGUCGCCCGUCUUGAAACACGGACCAAGGAGUCUAACAAUCAUGCAAGUGUUUGGGCCCAAAACCCAUACGCGCAAUGAAAGUAACCGGAGCGAACCUUCUGGUGCAGCUCCCGCCACACCGAGACCCAAAUCCCGGUG
This 657-nucleotide ribosomal RNA is filed under the name Metschnikowia pulcherrima. RNAcentral describes it as "partial large subunit ribosomal RNA". It matches the Rfam family "Eukaryotic large subunit ribosomal RNA", at positions 38 to 790 of the family's 3401-position model. The record is from RNAcentral. Lineage: Eukaryota; Fungi; Ascomycota; Pichiomycetes; Serinales; Metschnikowiaceae.